This 2902-nucleotide ribosomal RNA is filed under the name Escherichia coli UMEA 3155-1. RNAcentral's name for it is "bacterial LSU rRNA". It matches the Rfam family "Bacterial large subunit ribosomal RNA". The record is from RNAcentral. Lineage: Bacteria; Pseudomonadati; Pseudomonadota; Gammaproteobacteria; Enterobacterales; Enterobacteriaceae.
UUAAGCGACUAAGCGUACACGGUGGAUGCCCUGGCAGUCAGAGGCGAUGAAGGACGUGCUAAUCUGCGAUAAGCGUCGGUGAGGUGAUAUGAACCGUUAUAACCGGCGAUUUCCGAAUGGGGAAACCCAGUGUGAUUCGUCACACUAUCAUUAACUGAAUCCAUAGGUUAAUGAGGCGAACCGGGGGAACUGAAACAUCUAAGUACCCCGAGGAAAAGAAAUCAACCGAGAUUCCCCCAGUAGCGGCGAGCGAACGGGGAGGAGCCCAGAGCCUGAAUCAGUGUGUGUGUUAGUGGAAGCGUCUGGAAAGGCGCGCGAUACAGGGUGACAGCCCCGUACACAAAAAUGCACAUAUUGUGAGCUCGAUGAGUAGGGCGGGACACGUGGUAUCCUGUCUGAAUAUGGGGGGACCAUCCUCCAAGGCUAAAUACUCCUGACUGACCGAUAGUGAACCAGUACCGUGAGGGAAAGGCGAAAAGAACCCCGGCGAGGGGAGUGAAAAAGAACCUGAAACCGUGUACGUACAAGCAGUGGGAGCCUCUUAAUGGGGUGACUGCGUACCUUUUGUAUAAUGGGUCAGCGACUUAUAUUCUGUAGCAAGGUUAACCGAAUAGGGGAGCCGAAGGGAAACCGAGUCUUAACUGGGCGUUAAGUUGCAGGGUAUAGACCCGAAACCCGGUGAUCUAGCCAUGGGCAGGUUGAAGGUUGGGUAACACUAACUGGAGGACCGAACCGACUAAUGUUGAAAAAUUAGGGGAUGACUUGUGGCUGGGGGUGAAAGGCCAAUCAAACCGGGAGAUAGCUGGUUCUCCCCGAAAGCUAUUUAGGUAGCGCCUCGUGAAUUCAUCUCCGGGGGUAGAGCACUGUUUCGGCAAGGGGGUCAUCCCGACUUACCAACCCGAUGCAAACUGCGAAUACCGGAGAAUGUUAUCACGGGAGACACACGGCGGGUGCUAACGUCCGUCGUGAAGAGGGAAACAACCCAGACCGCCAGCUAAGGUCCCAAAGUCAUGGUUAAGUGGGAAACGAUGUGGGAAGGCCCAGACAGCCAGGAUGUUGGCUUAGAAGCAGCCAUCAUUUAAAGAAAGCGUAAUAGCUCACUGGUCGAGUCGGCCUGCGCGGAAGAUGUAACGGGGCUAAACCAUGCACCGAAGCUGCGGCAGCGACACUAUGUGUUGUUGGGUAGGGGAGCGUUCUGUAAGCCUGUGAAGGUGGCCUGUGAGGGUUGCUGGAGGUAUCAGAAGUGCGAAUGCUGACAUAAGUAACGAUAAAGCGGGUGAAAAGCCCGCUCGCCGGAAGACCAAGGGUUCCUGUCCAACGUUAAUCGGGGCAGGGUGAGUCGACCCCUAAGGCGAGGCCGAAAGGCGUAGUCGAUGGGAAACAGGUUAAUAUUCCUGUACUUGGUGUUACUGCGAAGGGGGGACGGAGAAGGCUAUGUUGGCCGGGCGACGGUUGUCCCGGUUUAAGCGUGUAGGCUGGUUUUCCAGGCAAAUCCGGAAAAUCAAGGCUGAGGCGUGAUGACGAGGCACUACGGUGCUGAAGCGACAAAUGCCCUGCUUCCAGGAAAAGCCUCUAAGCAUCAGGUAACAUCAAAUCGUACCCCAAACCGACACAGGUGGUCAGGUAGAGAAUACCAAGGCGCUUGAGAGAACUCGGGUGAAGGAACUAGGCAAAAUGGUGCCGUAACUUCGGGAGAAGGCACGCUGAUAUGUAGGUGAAGCGACUUGCUCGUGGAGCUGAAAUCAGUCGAAGAUACCAGCUGGCUGCAACUGUUUAUUAAAAACACAGCACUGUGCAAACACGAAAGUGGACGUAUACGGUGUGACGCCUGCCCGGUGCCGGAAGGUUAAUUGAUGGGGUUAGCGGUAACGCGAAGCUCUUGAUCGAAGCCCCGGUAAACGGCGGCCGUAACUAUAACGGUCCUAAGGUAGCGAAAUUCCUUGUCGGGUAAGUUCCGACCUGCACGAAUGGCGUAAUGAUGGCCAGGCUGUCUCCACCCGAGACUCAGUGAAAUUGAACUCGCUGUGAAGAUGCAGUGUACCCGCGGCAAGACGGAAAGACCCCGUGAACCUUUACUAUAGCUUGACACUGAACAUUGAGCCUUGAUGUGUAGGAUAGGUGGGAGGCUUUGAAGUGUGGACGCCAGUCUGCAUGGAGCCGACCUUGAAAUACCACCCUUUAAUGUUUGAUGUUCUAACGUGGGCCCCUAAUCGGGGUUGCGGACAGUGUCUGGUGGGUAGUUUGACUGGGGCGGUCUCCUCCUAAAGAGUAACGGAGGAGCACGAAGGUUGGCUAAUCCUGGUCGGACAUCAGGAGGUUAGUGCAAUGGCAUAAGCCAGCUUGACUGCGAGCGUGACGGCGCGAGCAGGUGCGAAAGCAGGUCAUAGUGAUCCGGUGGUUCUGAAUGGAAGGGCCAUCGCUCAACGGAUAAAAGGUACUCCGGGGAUAACAGGCUGAUACCGCCCAAGAGUUCAUAUCGACGGCGGUGUUUGGCACCUCGAUGUCGGCUCAUCACAUCCUGGGGCUGAAGUAGGUCCCAAGGGUAUGGCUGUUCGCCAUUUAAAGUGGUACGCGAGCUGGGUUUAGAACGUCGUGAGACAGUUCGGUCCCUAUCUGCCGUGGGCGCUGGAGAACUGAGGGGGGCUGCUCCUAGUACGAGAGGACCGGAGUGGACGCAUCACUGGUGUUCGGGUUGUCAUGCCAAUGGCACUGCCCGGUAGCUAAAUGCGGAAGAGAUAAGUGCUGAAAGCAUCUAAGCACGAAACUUGCCCCGAGAUGAGUUCUCCCUGACUCCUUGAGAGUCCUGAAGGAACGUUGAAGACGACGACGUUGAUAGGCCGGGUGUGUAAGCGCAGCGAUGCGUUGAGCUAACCGGUACUAAUGAACCGUGAGGCUUAACCUU